CGGCCAUAAUAUGUCAAAAUUUUAUUCAACUGAAGAUGAAGAGGGUGGGGUAAAGUUACAAUGAGGGACCAUAAUUAGGUGAUUCCCCAUUUCAAUUAGGAAAAAUAAAACUAAAAUUAAGGGAUUAGAGGGAGGAAGGAAGAGGAUGAAGGCGUAUGGAGCUGGGAACCAAAAGCUGAAACCAAGACUCCAUCCUGUCAUAUAUACAAAAGCUGAUAAUAGAGAAAGCACAAGGCAUUGGCUUUAUGUUGGUAUUAGAGCUAAUAUUUGGGUCUUGAUUCUUCCCAUGCACAUUUGUAUCUCUCUAUAUAUUGGCUGAUUUUGAGGGCAGUAUGGAUGCAAGCUAGUGACAGCAGAAUCAAUUAUCUGUGCCACAUCAGCUGGAGGAUAUUGUCGUUCGGUACAUGUCUGUAUCAUGAGCAAAGUAGCAACACAUGAUGUUAUAAGCUCUUCAGGGAUUGCUGCUUCAAUUUUGUCAGCAUUAUUUUGGGAUUUAGGCCCAGAUGCAUUACCAUUAACUUGGGCCUCCAAUGUGCUGGAAAUCAACUGAUCAUGAUCGUUUAAAAUGCCAUUGACAUGCUCUGGAGACCUGAUUACUUGUGCCUUCGGUUCUGAUGCUAAUUGUCCUUUAUCAAUAGAAUCUAAAGCCUCCCCAAUCUUCACGAAAGCAUCUUCCCCUUCUUUCAUUGAUGAAAUCGCCUGAACAGCAGCAUCUAUCAUUGUGUGUGCUUUGUGUCUGGAACCUCCAACGAUUUCAAUGACGGUACUAGAUCCAGAUUCUUGAGAAACAAAAAUAUCAUGAGAACUUGGCGGGCCAGCCAGGAAAUUGGAAUUGACAGGGGGCUUCAGCCAAGGAGGCAGGGUAUUCCCUGGGCAUGUAUUGUGUUGCCUCAAAUUGACUAAAGCAGAAGAGGCCUUUUUAUCAAGAGCAUGAUUCAACUCAGAAAGAGCUUGUACAUCAGCUUCCUUCACUUCGAGUUGUGACACCACAGAAGGUUGACUAGCUAUUUGUUGUGCAUUAACAAUGUCAAUAGAUGCUGCCUUUGAUUGUUGGUGGUUUGCAUCCACCUGCUUUACCAAUGUAUUCAUGGGAAUCCGUAAGUUGUCUAAACGCCUUGGUGAAGUAAACCCUCCAAUAUGUGAAUGCCCAUUCACUUGCAGUUCCUUGGAUGCAACAGAGAAUCGACCUCUCCGAAGAGCUUCUGGCAUGUUAUCGAAUGGAUUUGAAGGCAUGCAGUCUAUAUCCUUGACAAAUUCCACUCCCAUCUCAGGACAGUCAAAUUGAACUCUGCACCUGUCAUGAUCAAUUGUGAGCACACUUCCAUCAUGAAGUUCUCUUGUUUUGGGAUGCACAGCAAUUACUCGCUGUCCAACUGAUAAAGGUCUUGCUAAAUCAGUUGGAAGUCCAUCCAUGAUACCAGUACGAAGUUCAGUAUAAUGUUUUCUCACAGAAUCCCUAUACUGCUUCAGUUUCUCCCUUUCUUCAUGUAAAAAAUGUUCAGAGAAUCUUCUAGGUUUGCCCAGGGAACUUCUUAUGACACCCCAUUCAACACGAGUUAA
This 1560-nucleotide unclassified non-coding RNA is filed under the name Hevea brasiliensis (rubber tree). Lineage: Eukaryota; Viridiplantae; Streptophyta; Magnoliopsida; Malpighiales; Euphorbiaceae. The record is from RNAcentral.